CCUACGGGUGGCUGCAGUGAGGAAUAUUGGUCAAUGGACGGAAGUCUGAACCAGCCAUGCCGCGUGAAGGAAGACGGCUCUAUGUGUUGUAAACUGCUUUUGUACAAGGGUAAACCUGAAUACGUGUAUUCAGCUGAAAGUACUGUACGAAUAAGAAUCGGCUAACUCCGUGCCAGCAGCCGCGGUAAUACGGAGGAUCCAAGCGUUAUCCGGAUUUAUUGGGUGUAAAGGGUGCGUAGGCGGAUUGAUAAGUUAGAGGUGAAAUGUCCGGGCUUAACCCGGGAACUGCCUCUAAUACUGUUGAGCUAGAGAGUAGGUGCGGUAGGCGGAAUGUAUGGUGUAGCGGUGAAAUGCGUAGAGAUCAGACAGAACACCGAUUGCGAAGGCAGCUUACCAGUCUAUAUCUGACGUUGAGGCACGAAAGCGUGGGGAGCAAACAGGAUUAGAUACCCUUGUAGUC
This 460-nucleotide ribosomal RNA is filed under the name uncultured bacterium. RNAcentral's name for it is "partial 16S ribosomal RNA". It matches the Rfam family "Bacterial small subunit ribosomal RNA", at positions 338 to 795 of the family's 1533-position model. The record is from RNAcentral.